AGCCCCUUGAACAUAUAAAGGGUCCCGCCUGCCCAGUGACCUCAAAGGUUAAACGGCCGCGGUAUCUUGACCGUGCAAAGGUAGCAUAAUCACUUGUCUUUUAAAUGGAGACCUGUAUGAACGGCAAAACCUUUUCAAACUGUCUCCCUCCCUAACCUUUUAAACUCCUUUUCACGCGAAGAAGCGUGAAUACAUCAGAAAGACGAGAAGACCCUGUCGAGCUUCAGCCAAUAAGUGAGCUAACAAAACCUAUGUGUUAACAUCACCCAAAGGCUUUGGUUGGGGUAACCAUGGAGAACAUUAAUCCUCCAGAACAAGCAGACGAACUCUCUUCCCUACUAAACGAACUAAAGAACCAGGAACUGGUAAUCGGAAAAAGUUACCGCAGGGAUAACAGCGUCAUCCCCUUUAAGAGUCCUUAUUGACAAGGGGGUUUGCGACCUCGAUGUUGGAUUGGGGCUCCCUUAGGGUGCAGAAGCUCUAAACGGUUAGACUGUUCGUCUAUUAAAGCCCUACAUGAUCUGAGUUCAGACCGACGUGAGUCAGGUCAGCUUCUAUCUUCUUUUUCGACCCCCCUAGUACGAAAGGACCGGGAAGUCCCUUUAAAUGACUACCCUCAAAAAGGAACAAAAUAGAAAAAAACAUUACCAACAAAACCCAAGAAACCCAAAAUCCCCACCCCACACUGGCAAACAAAAACUUCAUCAUGGCUUAAAAACCUAAUACAAACAAAAAUUUUUAAUUUCUCAGCAAGGGGGGGGUCUUAUCAUUUUUAAGAAUUUUUAACAUAACUACAAAUC
This 800-nucleotide ribosomal RNA is filed under the name Holothuria leucospilota. RNAcentral describes it as "partial large subunit ribosomal RNA". The stretch from base 1 to 682 matches the Rfam family "Bacterial large subunit ribosomal RNA", at positions 1817 to 2925 of the family's 2925-position model. Lineage: Eukaryota; Metazoa; Echinodermata; Holothuroidea; Aspidochirotida; Holothuriidae. The record is from RNAcentral.